AUACGACUUCUUCAAUUAUGGUAAGUAACAUCUGCUACUCCUUAGUCUAAUUAGCUUGUUUCAAUUGUUGAAUAGACCUACGAAGAAACUAGCUAGAGAAUCCAAAAACAGUCCCGAUCCGCCAUGGAUUCAUCCAAAGAUCGUAAAACGAUUUCUUAAACAGAUUUGAAUUGGGGCAAGUAGUUGUGUGUUCGAAGGUGGAAUUGGUGGCUGACUCGGAUUUGACCAACUUUGCCGAGUGAAAUUUCAUGCAAUUGCAUUUAUUGUUGAAAUGGGUGAGUUGCUUCGAUUUGAUUUGGGUGAGAAAGUUGAGAAGCGUAUCAGUGGUUUGGAAAAUGAGCUUAUUUCAUGGGUUUCUAAUAGAGAGGAAGAUGGCAGAGAAAGAUGUUUGUUUUUUCAUACAUUUAGCAACACUGUUGAUUUGUGCAUGUUCUCUUCACUUUAAUUCUUCUUUUUGUCCUGUUUAUAAAUUGCUCUUUGAUAAUUAAUUUGCAUUUUAGUUGAUGGUAA
Mercurialis annua (annual mercury) is the source of this 510-nucleotide long non-coding RNA. RefSeq lists it as uncharacterized. The record is from RefSeq and is a predicted model, not a curated record. The transcript has 2 exons. NCBI's taxonomy places the organism in Eukaryota, Viridiplantae, Streptophyta, Magnoliopsida, Malpighiales, Euphorbiaceae.